RNAcentral lists this ribosomal RNA (508 nucleotides) under Triticum aestivum (bread wheat). RNAcentral's name for it is "partial small subunit ribosomal RNA". The record is from RNAcentral. Lineage: Eukaryota; Viridiplantae; Streptophyta; Magnoliopsida; Poales; Poaceae.
CCCCCAUCCCCACCUAGGGUUCCCCUUCUCCCUCCACAACCGCCGCCGCCGCCGCCGCCGCAAACCCUCGCGCACUCGCCCUCCAACCCACCGCCGCCGUCGACAUGGGUAAGGUGCACGGAUCGCUCGCCCGUGCCGGGAAGGUGCGCGGCCAGACGCCCAAGGUCGCGAAGCAGGACAAGAAGAAGCAGCCCCGCGGCCGCGCCCACAAGAGGAUCCAGUACAACCGCCGCUUCGUCACCGCCGUCGUCGGCUUCGGCAAGAAGCGCGGCCCCAACUCCUCCGAGAAGUAGGCGCGCCGCACCGCCGAGCCAAGAAAAAGGCUCUUCCUUUGCGCUAGUUUUCCUCUCGUUUGUUGUUACGCAAGAUUAUGAUGAUGGAAGAGACAUUACUGAAGUGUUAAAGUAUGCAUGUUUUGCUUAGUUGAAGAAUCUGAGAUAUUGUGGUAUGGGUUCAUGGCUUAAAUUUGCUUGUUGUUUGUCGUUGCCCAUGAUGUGCAACAUAUGCG